This 450-nucleotide ribosomal RNA is filed under the name uncultured bacterium. RNAcentral's name for it is "partial 16S ribosomal RNA". It matches the Rfam family "Bacterial small subunit ribosomal RNA", at positions 354 to 796 of the family's 1533-position model. The record is from RNAcentral.
GUGGGGAAUAUUGGACAAUGGGCGCAAGCCUGAUCCAGCAAUGCCGCGUGGGUGAAGAAGGUCUUCGGAUUGUAAAGCACUUUAAGUUGGGAGGAAGGGCAGUAAGUUAAUACCUUGCUGUUUUGACGUUACCGACAGAAUAAGCACCGGCUAACUUCGUGCCAGCAGCCGCGGUAAUACGAAGGGUGCAAGCGUUAAUCGGAAUUACUGGGCGUAAAGCGCGCGUAGGUGGUUUUGUAAGUUGGAGGUGAAAUCCCCGGGCUCAACCUGGGAACUGCCUCCAAAACUGCAUGACUAGAGUACGGUAGAGGGUAGUGGAAUUUCCUGUGUAGCGGUGAAAUGCGUAGAUAUAGGAAGGAACACCAGUGGCGAAGGCGACUACCUGGACUGAUACUGACACUGAGGUGCGAAAGCGUGGGGAGCAAACAGGAUUAGAAACCCUUGUAGUCC